This 616-nucleotide ribosomal RNA is filed under the name uncultured Legionella sp. Its description in RNAcentral is "bacterial SSU rRNA". It matches the Rfam family "Bacterial small subunit ribosomal RNA", at positions 242 to 849 of the family's 1533-position model. Lineage: Bacteria; Pseudomonadati; Pseudomonadota; Gammaproteobacteria; Legionellales; Legionellaceae. The record is from RNAcentral.
UAGCUAGUUGGUGGGGUAAGGGCCUACCAAGGCGACGAUCGGUAGCUGGUCUGAGAGGAUGACCAGCCACACUGGAGCUGAGACACGGUCCAGACUCCUACGGGAGGCAGCAGUGGGGAAUAUUGGACAAUGGGGGCAACCCUGAUCCAGCAAUGCCGCGUGUGUGAAGAAGGCCUGAGGGUUGUAAAGCACUUUCAGUGGGGAGGAGGGUUGAUAGGUUAAGAGCUAAUUAACUGGACGUUACCCACAGAAGAAGCACCGGCUAACUCCGUGCCAGCAGCCGCGGUAAUACGGAGGGUGCGAGCGUUAAUCGGAAUUACUGGGCGUAAAGGGUGCGUAGGUGGUUGAUUAAGUUAUCUGUGAAAUUCCUGGGCUUAACCUGGGACGGUCAGAUAAUACUGGUUGACUCGAGUAUGGGAGAGGGUAGUGGAAUUUCCGGUGUAGCGGUGAAAUGCGUAGAGAUCGGAAGGAACACCAGUGGCGAAGGCGGCUACCUGGCCUAAUACUGACACUGAGGCACGAAAGCGUGGGGAACAAACAGGAUUAGAUACCCUGGUAGUCCACGCUGUAAACGAUGUCAACUAGCUGUUGGUUAUAUGAAAAUAAUUAGUGGCGC